Esox lucius (northern pike) is the source of this 1176-nucleotide long non-coding RNA. Lineage: Eukaryota; Metazoa; Chordata; Actinopteri; Esociformes; Esocidae. The record is from Ensembl.
UGCAUUGGCCGGGAAUCGAACCCGGGCCUCCCGCGCGGGAGCCGAGGAUUCUUUAGCUAAAGUGCCCUAAAGCGUUUCCCAUUCAUUCCCUAUGGUAGUGCUAAACCACUACGGAUGCAAUAUAUGUAUGGCCACGUAUGCCCUCCGAGGCGCUGUGGCAGGUUUUACGCAAGAGGUGGCGAAGAUAAUAGCCGAAUUACAACGAACCACAACAAACACCCGGGAACAACUCAUCUGAGCCUUAUUUACUUUUUCUGAUUCGUGAAUUUCUUUUACAUUUCAGCAUUUGAUCCGAGCAUUUUACGUUUUGUUACAUUAGCGGUUUUAGCUACGUCAGACACACAACAGCUUCUAAUUCGUAAGGACUGCCAAAGAUUAACAUGUCACACAGGCCUUCGGUGUUUUUCCCUGGCAAGGUCCAAGUUACCUUUCGGAGAGGCGCGUUAGGUUACCUUCUACAAGUCCCCUCUGAUGCCGCCAAGAAGAUCAAAGACAACCCUUCUAUGCAGGACAAGUCUGCUCCUCUGAAGGAAGAGGUUGUCAGGAAGAAUGCCAUCAGCGUUGUCUUACAAAGAGGGGGGGAUGUGUCAGAUAAAGCUGAGGUGUUGGGGGAGUACAUACUACAGUUUGGGAAGUACAGAGGCAAGUCCUUCAGGUGGCUGCUGGAAAAUGAUGUUGGAUACACUAUGUACCUCAUCAAAAAUUUGGAAAAAGAAAAAGAGGCAGGCCAUUUCAGUACAGAGGGGAGCAGCAAAAUCAGUUUGCAGUCCUUUUUGGAAUAUGCCAUGAGCUUCAAAGAUAUUGAGGAGCUUUCAAAGUUUGAGUCUCACAAAACGAAUUCUCCUGCUGUGACCUCAGAUUGUGACACUCUGGUUGGCUUUGGUAAUCGGGCCAAAAGUACAUGGGGAGAAAUAUGGGAGAGCAGAGCUGAUGGGUACGCUUUCUUCAUUAUGUCAAGGAAAUGUGGUACAGGUUCAAAAAUGCACAAACUGCAGCAGUACCUGCUAAUGAAAAAAGAGUCAUUGCCAUCAACCGUUACAUCACCAGCCUCUACUGCAACUCCUUACUCCCAAGAUUCACCAGCAUCAGCAGCUGUAGGAGCACCAUCUGUGUCUACUGGCAGAGGUUUUUCUCCAUCAGUUUGGCAGGACUAUUCACUGAAUUAUUCUGCCUAAC